CGAUGAAGAACGUAGCGAAAUGCGAUACUUGGUGUGAAUUGCAGAAUCCCGUGAACCAUCGAGUCUUUGAACGCAAGUUGCGCCUGAAGCCAUUAGGUUGAAGGCACGUCUGCCUGGGCGUCACGCAUUGCGUCACCCACUCCCUCGUGUUCCAAGUGGGCAC
This 163-nucleotide ribosomal RNA is filed under the name Anthopterus revolutus. RNAcentral's name for it is "5.8S ribosomal RNA". The stretch from base 1 to 123 matches the Rfam family "5.8S ribosomal RNA", at positions 34 to 154 of the family's 154-position model. Rfam says of the family: 5.8S ribosomal RNA (5.8S rRNA) is a component of the large subunit of the eukaryotic ribosome. The record is from RNAcentral. RNAcentral also lists the same sequence under 1 other name. Lineage: Eukaryota; Viridiplantae; Streptophyta; Magnoliopsida; Ericales; Ericaceae.